UACGUAGGGUGCGAGCGUUGUCCGGAAUUACUGGGCGUAAAGAGCUCGUAGGUGGUUUGUCGCGUUGUCCGUGAAAACUCACAACUCAAUUGUGGGCGUGCGGGCGAUACGGGCAGACUGGAGUACUGCAGGGGAGACUGGAAUUCCUGGUGUAGCGGUGGAAUGCGCAGAUAUCAGGAGGAACACCGGUGGCGAAGGCGGGUCUCUGGGCAGUAACUGACGCUGAGGCGCGAAAGCCAGGGGAGCAAACGGG
Molecule: ribosomal RNA, 253 nt
Filed under: uncultured bacterium
Lineage: Bacteria
Description: partial 16S ribosomal RNA
Rfam family: Bacterial small subunit ribosomal RNA
Source: RNAcentral